RNAcentral lists this ribosomal RNA (1113 nucleotides) under Marteilia refringens. Its description in RNAcentral is "LSU rRNA". It matches the Rfam family "Eukaryotic large subunit ribosomal RNA", at positions 24 to 2717 of the family's 3401-position model. Lineage: Eukaryota; Endomyxa; Ascetosporea; Paramyxida; Marteiliidae. The record is from RNAcentral.
AGUGCAGCAGGUAGCGCCGCAAACUUAAACAUAUCACUAGCGGCAGCAAGAGAAACCAACCGGGAGGCCCUGAGUAACGGCGAGCGAAAAGGGUCGAGUCCGACGUCGAAUCUGCCUAGAUGGACGACUUCGAAGCAGAGUUGUGACGACGAGCGGAUUACGAGCUUGACGCGAGCGUACCCAGAACCGCAUCAGGUCUCCGAGGUGAGAAGCCUCUGGCCGAACGGCAAAAGGCGGGCUAGGGAAUUCGGCAAAAUAGAUCCGUACCUUCGGUACAAGGAUUGGCUCCGCGGGUCGCGUCUACCGGCUUGCAUCGGCGACCGACGACGUGGCGACCGUUGUCCUCCUCGGGGGAUGGCUGUUGCAACGGAGGCGGGCGAAGGUGCGAGUUGAGCGGUGCGGGUUUCGGCCUGCAUCGCUCGCCACGGUAGGCUAAAAACGAUCGACGCGGAGCUGGCACCGACACGGCUGACCGGACAGUUUAAUUAAAACGCAGCGCGUGGCUAUCCGCAAGCGGCGUGAAUCACGCGUGAGUCCUGCCCGGUGCUAUGAAUGUCAAGGUGGGGAGAUUCACCUAAGCACUAGUUAACGGCAGGAGUAACUAUGACUCUUUUAAGGUAGCAAAAUACCUUGUCGCAUAAUUGGCGACGUGCAUGAAUGGAUCAACCAGGUCAGCACUGUCCCAGUCCGGUCGCCGGCGAACCAACAGACGGGGGAACGGGCCCGUCAGACACAGCGGGGAAAGAAGACCCUGUUGAGCUUCACUUCAUCUGUCGCCUGCAGGCGGGUGCAGCGUCUGUAGUAAUAGAUGGGAGGCGUUCGUUUCGGCGUUCGCCGGUUGUGAAAGACCAUUGACGCAGUUACUCGCUCGCUAACCUGGUGAGAGGGGAAGCGCGCGUUCGGUCUUCGGGCCGACGCGCCAGAUCCAUGCAACAAAGCGACGACGCGGCGCACCUCGUGUGCUGCCGACCACGGACGUCGCGACCCGUGCCAGGGACAAGCCGCGGUGGGAAGUUUGGCUGGGGCGGUACGACCCGAAAAGUGUGGCCGGGUCGACCAUGAGUCGAUCUCAGUGUGGACGGAAACCUCACGUAGCGUUUAAGGACAAAUGAU